RNAcentral lists this ribosomal RNA (515 nucleotides) under Boophis axelmeyeri. RNAcentral describes it as "partial 16S ribosomal RNA". It matches the Rfam family "Bacterial large subunit ribosomal RNA", at positions 1918 to 2597 of the family's 2925-position model. The record is from RNAcentral. Lineage: Eukaryota; Metazoa; Chordata; Amphibia; Anura; Mantellidae.
ACAGAUUAAACGGCCGCGGGUACCCUAACCGUGCGAAGGUAGCAUAAUCACUUGUUCUUUAAAUGAGGACUAGUAUCAACGGCAUCACGAGGAUCCCACUGUCUCCCCGCUCUAAUCAGUGAAACUGAUCUCUCCGUGAAGAAGCGGGGAUGAACAUAUAAGACGAGAAGACCCCAUGGAGCUUUAAACCCGACAGCACCCGUUUAUUCUACACCCUAUUAUUCACUCGGCACCUGUCUGCUCGGUUUUAGGUUGGGGUGACCGCGGAGCAUAAAAUAGCCUCCAUGAAAAAGGGGAUGAUUCCCUUAUUUAAGAACUACACUUCCAGAAAAUAAUAAACUAAUUUUAAGUGAUCCGAUAUAUUCGAUCAACGAACCAAGUUACCCUGGGGAUAACAGCGCAAUCCACCCCGAGAGCCCCUAUCGACAGGUGGGUUUACGACCUCGAUGUUGGAUCAGGGUAUCCCAGUGGUGCAGCAGCUACCAAAGGUUCGUUUGUUCAACGAUUAAAACCCU